RNAcentral lists this ribosomal RNA (496 nucleotides) under uncultured bacterium. Its description in RNAcentral is "partial 16S ribosomal RNA". It matches the Rfam family "Bacterial small subunit ribosomal RNA", at positions 29 to 507 of the family's 1533-position model. The record is from RNAcentral.
AUGAACGCUGGCGGCGUGCCUAAUACAUGCAAGUCGAGCGAACAGACGAGGAGCUUGCUCCUCUGACGUUAGCGGCGGACUGGUGAGUAACACGUGGAUAACCUACCUAUAAGACUGGGAUAACUUCGGGAAACCGGAGCUAAUACCGGAUAAUAUAUUGAACCGCAUGGUUCCAUAGUUAAAUACGGUUUUGCUGUCACUUAUAUAUGGAUCCGCGCCGCAUUAGCUAGUUGGUAAGGUAACGGCUUACCAAGGCAACGAUGCGUAGCCGACCUGAGAGGGUGAUCGGCCACACUGGAACUGAGACACGGACCAGACUCCUACGGGAGGCAGCAGUAGGGAAUCUUCCGCAAUGGGCGAAAGCCUGACGGAGCAACGCCGCGUGAGUGAUGAAGGUCUUCGGAUCGUAAAACUCUGUUAUUAGGGAAGAACAAAUGUGUAAGUAACUAUGCACGUCUUGACGGUACCUAAUCAGAAAGCCACGGCUAACUACGUG